Molecule: small nuclear RNA, 127 nt
Organism: Gracilinanus agilis (Agile Gracile Mouse Opossum)
Lineage: Eukaryota; Metazoa; Chordata; Mammalia; Didelphimorphia; Didelphidae
Source: RefSeq, a predicted model, not a curated record
AUGUUAUAUGAAAGGAGAGAAGGCUAGCAUUCCUCUUGAUAGGAACAGAAGAGGUCCUAGUGCCUUCAUAGCAUGCAUAUGGUUAAGGCAUUGCCAAAUACUCCAUGGCAUAUAACCAUGCUUUUAU